Molecule: ribosomal RNA, 447 nt
Filed under: uncultured bacterium
Lineage: Bacteria
Description: partial 16S ribosomal RNA
Rfam family: Bacterial small subunit ribosomal RNA
Source: RNAcentral
UGGGAAUUUGGACAAUGGGGCAACCUGAUCCAGCAAUGCCGCGUGUGUGAAGAAGGCCUUCGGGUUGUAAAGCACUUUUGUCCGGAAAGAAAACGCCGUGGUUAAUACCCGUGGCGGAUGACGGUACCGGAAGAAUAAGCACCGGCUAACUACGUGCCAGCAGCCGCGGUAAUACGUAGGGUGCAAGCGUUAAUCGGAAUUACUGGGCGUAAAGCGUGCGCAGGCGGUCCGCUAAGACAGAUGUGAAAUCCCCGGGCUUAACCUGGGAACUGCAUUUGUGACUGGCGGGCUAGAGUAUGGCAGAGGGGGGUAGAAUUCCACGUGUAGCAGUGAAAUGCGGUAGAGAUGUGGAGGAAUACCGAUGGCGAGGGCAGCCCCCUGGGCCAAUACUGACGCUCAUGCACGAAAGCGUGGGGAGCAAACAGGAUUCAGAUACCCUGGUAUCCA